RNAcentral lists this non-coding RNA (101 nucleotides) under Salipaludibacillus aurantiacus. RNAcentral's name for it is "GEMM cis-regulatory element". It matches the Rfam family "c-di-GMP-I riboswitch aptamer". From Rfam's summary of the family: GEMM was predicted in a large-scale screen for bacterial structured RNA regulatory elements. Genes associated with GEMM are involved in a diverse array of functions, including chemotaxis regulation, signal transduction, secretion and chitin. The record is from RNAcentral. Lineage: Bacteria; Bacillati; Bacillota; Bacilli; Caryophanales; Bacillaceae.
UCUAGUCAAAGGCAAAUUUAUUGAAAAAUAAAGACGCAAAGUUACAGAUCUAAGGGGAGUGAAGACCUUUUAUUCAUCCCUAUGAUGGCUGAGCUGCCUAG